This 73-nucleotide transfer RNA is filed under the name Nocardioides sp. Root122. It matches the Rfam family "tRNA". From Rfam's summary of the family: Transfer RNA (tRNA) molecules are approximately 80 nucleotides in length. Their secondary structure includes four short double-helical elements and three loops (D, anti-codon, and T loops). Further hydrogen bonds mediate the characteristic L-shaped molecular structure. tRNAs have two regions of fundamental functional importance: the anti-codon, which is responsible for specific mRNA codon recognition, and the 3' end, to which the tRNAs corresponding amino acid is attached (by aminoacyl-tRNA synthetases). tRNAs cope with the degeneracy of the genetic code in two manners: having more than one tRNA (with a specific anti-codon) for a particular amino acid; and 'wobble' base-pairing, i.e. permitting non-standard base-pairing at the 3rd anti-codon position. The record is from Rfam by way of RNAcentral. RNAcentral also lists the same sequence under 1 other name. Lineage: Bacteria; Bacillati; Actinomycetota; Actinomycetes; Propionibacteriales; Nocardioidaceae.
GCGGACAUAGCUCAGUUGGUAGAGCGCAACUUUGCCAAGGUUGAGGUCGCGAGUUCGAGUCUCGUUGUCCGCU